Molecule: non-coding RNA, 29 nt
Filed under: Rattus norvegicus (Norway rat)
Lineage: Eukaryota; Metazoa; Chordata; Mammalia; Rodentia; Muridae
Source: RNAcentral
GGAGUUUUCUUAUUCCUGGAGCAAGCCUC